AAAACCCAGCAAGAUCGAAGUCGCCAUUGAAGACAAGGAGGAGCUCGAAGAAGCCCGCAAACGCGCUCCCUCCGCCGCCGCCACCUCCACCUCCUCCUCCUCCUCCUCCUCCUCCUCUGCCGCCUCCUCUCUUCUUCAACAGCUAGACCGCUCCUCCGCCGCCGGGGCCAAUCCCGCUUCCAAAUCCCACCGCAUCGGCCUCUCGUCCUAAAACCCCGUUCGAAAUCCUCCACUCGGGAUCUCAUUCAUUGCGCUUUGUGCCGCGAUUCUGAAAAUGGAGGUGGAAGUCAAGCUGCGCCUCCCCGACGCUGCCGCCCACGGCCGGGUCCUCUCCCUUUUCGGGCCCUUCCGCCGCGAGACCCUGAGGCAAGAGAACUUCUUCUUCGACGGCUCCGAGAAUGAGCUCUCCUCCAAACGAGCUGUUCUGCGCGUUCGAUUCUACAAUGGCCAAGCCCGCUGCGUCGUCUCUCUCAAGGCCAAGGCCAUAUUGAUCGACGGCAUUAGUCGCGUGGAGGAGGAGGAGGAGGAAAUGGACCCCAUGCUAGGGCGGGAGUGCGUGGCGGAACCAGAAAAGCUCGGGUCAGUCAAGAAUCGGAUUCUGAAGAAGUGCGAGGAUGAGUUCGGGGUCAAGGGCUUCGUGGGACUGGGCGUGUUCGCCAAUGUGAGGGAUGUGAUCGAUUGGAAAGGGCUAAAAUUGGAGGUAGACGAGACGAACUAUGAUUUCGGGACUUCCUAUGAGAUUGAAUGCGAGAGUUCUGAUCCCGAGGGAGCGAAGAAGUUGCUGGAGGAAUACUUGAAGGAGAACGAGAUAGAGUACAAGUACUCAGAAGCUUCAAAGUUUGCGGUUUUUCGAUCAGGGAAGCUGCCAUAGUUCAUUCGAUUCAUGGAACUUUCGCGUAGAACAUUUUGAUGGCAAAAAAAAAAAAAGCGUUCAACAUGUGAAGAAGUGCGGGAGUGAGUCGAGCUCAAGGCCAUUGGUGAAGGCCACGUGCAAGGGACUAUGCAGGAAGACUCUUAUCUCGAUGCAAUGAUAGUUACAGUAUGCUAUUUGGUUGUUCGAGAAUGCGAGAAUGCAACGAAGGAAGCUUCCCCUCUAUCCAUGAUGGCGCAUGAUUUGGUAAUGAAGUACAUGGAGUCAAAAAAACUUAGUCGAGACCUAAUAUUUGGCGUACUGUCAUUGUUGUACCUUUCUUUUACACUUUCAUUAUCCUAAGGUGUCCGAGGUAUUAUGGUGAUUGUGAACAUAUAAUUAUAUCAUCUGAUUGGAACUAGCGAAUAUUGUUCCAUAUUAAUGAUAAUUGAUGCCCAUUUUAUUAGCUA
This is a non-coding RNA of Punica granatum (pomegranate), 1320 nucleotides long. Lineage: Eukaryota; Viridiplantae; Streptophyta; Magnoliopsida; Myrtales; Lythraceae. The record is from RefSeq and is a predicted model, not a curated record.